This 777-nucleotide ribosomal RNA is filed under the name uncultured Neocallimastigales. RNAcentral's name for it is "partial large subunit ribosomal RNA". It matches the Rfam family "Eukaryotic large subunit ribosomal RNA", at positions 23 to 646 of the family's 3401-position model. The record is from RNAcentral. Lineage: Eukaryota; Fungi; Neocallimastigomycota; Neocallimastigomycetes; Neocallimastigales.
GAGAGAGACAUGCGCGCAUAUCAAUAAGCGGAGGAAAAGAAACUAACUAGGAUUCCCUCAGUAACGGCGAGUGAAGCGGGGGGAAGAGCUCAAAUUUGAAAUCUUCAAGGUUUUACCUUGACGAAUUGUAGUUUAAAGAAGUGUUUUCUGUUGGAGUUUUGGUAAAAGUUCUUUGGAAUAGGACAUCAUAGAGGGUGAGAAUCCCGUAUUUGACCAUUACUUUCCAACUUUGUGAUACACUUUCAAAGAGUCGGAUUGUUUGGGAAUGCAGUCCAAAAUGGGUGGUAAAUUUCAUCUAAAGCUAAAUACUGGCGAGAGACCGAUAGCGAACAAGUACCGUGAGGGAAAGAUGAAAAGAACUUUGAAAAGAGAGUUAAACAGUACGUGAAAUUGUCAAAAGGGAAGCGUUUGACACCAGUGUUGUUUUUCUGAAAAUCAAUUAAAGAACUGUUUAUGCUAAGCUGUUUAGACUUUAUCAGCUAUCUGUUUAGUUUUGAGCUUUUCUCUAAUGCACUUUUCAGUUAACAAGUCAACAUCAAUUUCUUUUGCUGUAAAAAAGCUUGAGGAAGGUGGCUUGAGAUUCGUCUUAAGUGUUUAUAGCCUCUUGCCUAUGCAGUCGGAGAGAUUGAGGUCUGCAGCGUAGAUCCUUCGGGGCUAAAUGCAUUUGUGCUAAGUUAUAGCAUUUUAUAGACAACUUGUUGACUAUGAUUUGUCUUGUAGCUUACUCGCUUAUGUUAUUUUACCUACGCUUAGGAUGUUGAUGUGAUACUGCGAGCA